Long non-coding RNA from Bactrocera oleae (olive fruit fly), 2268 nucleotides. RefSeq lists it as uncharacterized. NCBI's taxonomy places the organism in Eukaryota, Metazoa, Arthropoda, Insecta, Diptera, Tephritidae. The record is from RefSeq and is a predicted model, not a curated record.
ACAAAAUGAAAAUUUCGGUCAAAUUUACUCGACAUUUCUUUUUUUUAAAUAGUUGUAAUUGAACAAAAAAAAAAGUUAUCCACGGCAAGACCUUGUAAAUUAUAUCUCAAAGACCUGUGUAAAAUUUCAUUAAGAUCGGUUGAGUAGUUCGCAAGAAAUCUUGACAACCGACUUUGAAAGCACAGUUUCGAGCGCGCAAAUUUUCAAAGCUGUAUCUCCAAAACUAUUACUGAUAUCAACUUGAGAAUUUGGGACAAUAUUCUUGAGAUGUUAUAGAAUUAAAUAAGGCAAUAAAAAUAAUUUUUUUUUUGAAGCCGCGAAACCCGUGUACCCGCUUAAAACCCUUUGAUGAGCUUACACUUCAAAUGCAAGCAUAUGGUCACAUAGUGAAACAGAAAAAUUAAAAAGAUAUUUUCGCCAAAGUGAUUUAUUUUCACUUCAAUUUAUGCACGAGUGAUGAAGCGAAAGAAUGCAUAAUGGUUAGGCGGUAAAUACAACAAACUCUGAAAGCGGAUUUAUCAGUUGGACGAUUUUGGAACGCCGCUUGGUGUAUCUUUAUUAAAUCCAAUAACGAAAGCACAAAAAGCUCUUUUGGCAAUUUCGCCAAACCAAAACGCUUAAGCGAUCCGAUUGUAAUUGUGGAAAGCUGGCAGACAGAUGAACAGACAUACAUAUGGUUGUAAUCAUGAAGUACUCCUUGUUUUUCUACAUGUUUGUAUGUGUGCAUGUCCAUGUGAAUAAAGCGACCAGCGCGCUUGGAUUGGCUUAUAUGGGCUCAAUGCAAAUGCAAGUGGACAUUGAAAUGUUGAAUAGGCACUGGAGUUGUUGUUGCUGCUUUAAGUGUGCAGCAAACGCAUCCCAAUCGCAAUAAAAUGCUCACAGUAAUGCAAGCAUACAUCCACACACAGUCAACCGGGAUGGAUGUCGUGUGUGAUUACAUUGGAAUUUAUGUGCAUUUGCAGUUUCUUUCAGCAUCACAGGCUCCAACUUCAAUUGCAACUCAGCAGUUGCUGUCGCUCGGAUGUGCAGCCGCAGUUUGAUUUCUUCAACGCUCUCGUUGCGCUUUUGCACUGCCCACAAUACCCAGAACUUCAGUUGGAUGUACAUCUUGCACAUGGACUCACCCGCUAGACCAUACCGCAGACCGUUUGGUAGGGCAGACUGCCCGUUGCGCUGGCAUCUGGCCGCCGGCUGCUUCUUGCUGACUGGGCGAGCAUAUGAUGUCUCAGCGCGUCGUGUGAAGUGCUGUGCAGUGGUUGAUUUGGACUCGAAUACACAUACAUACAGCUUGAAAACUGCAAGCAAAUGCUGCUGUGGCCGCUGCUUGGUUUGUGGUCCGCAUUACGUCCUUGUCGGCAUCGCGUCUUCGCCGCCUGUGACAUUUUGACAGCGUAGAAGUUAUGGACAGGAUGUCUGAAUCCGUAUGAAUAAACUCGUGUGCAUUUUGCAUAUGCGAGCGAAUUUGUGUGCGCAGUAAUAUGUGGCUCCUCAGAGCUUUUUGUCUGCUAUCGGUCUGUAUGCCUCUUCGCCUGUCUGCGCUGCUAUACUUCUACCUUCCAGCGUGUCUGUCCGCAUUUUGCUGUUGGUUGUUGGUCGUUGCUGGCCACUGCUGCUCAAUGAUGAGCUGUAGUACUUUGCGUUAAGCUGUUGUUGCCAAAAAAGAAAUACAUAAGCUAACCGCACCAUCCAAAAACCAAACCAGUCCAGACGUACCGCAAAAGCCAAACGAAUCAACCGCCCAAUCGCAGUCGAUUUUUUCCAUUCUCAACGGAUAUACCCUAGUCCAGACGUGUUUUACGACCUUAUGGUCAGUGCGCUGUAAGAAAUGUGAUUAUUUAAAAUGAAGCGAGAGAAGUGUAACCUCUUCAAGUGCUGUGAAGCGCUUGCGAUAAUUUAGUACUUUUAGUCGCUUUUUUCAUGCUUUAUAUUUGGAACACGAGAUGGAAAUCAUGCAUGUUAACAUAAGCUCUGAGCACAUAUUAAAAUUCGAAUCCAAAGCAUGUGCAGUCUUUCUUAUCAUUGCAAAAACGUUGACAUAUUGUUCCAGGAAGGUCUUAAAAACCGUUACAUUUAUUUAAGUAAAUAAAUUUAAAAUACAAUACGAAAACUAUUGGGGGACUGGAAAAAUACUUACUACAGUAAAAGCUGAGAACAUUUUCUUCAAAAUUUUUAUAAAAUAUGCAUAUUCUUUUUAGCUAUCUUUAGAAGCUUUCAUAGAUAUUUCUCUUUAAUUAAAGUCAAAAUUUAUUAGUUAAGACCACAAACACC